Molecule: unclassified non-coding RNA, 433 nt
Filed under: soil metagenome
Description: partial contains 5.8S ribosomal RNA, internal transcribed spacer 2, and large subunit ribosomal RNA
Rfam family: 5.8S ribosomal RNA (bases 1-120)
Source: RNAcentral
GAUGAAGAACGCAGCGAAAUGCGAUACGUAAUGUGAAUUGCAGAAUUCAGUGAAUCAUCGAAUCUUUGAACGCAUAUUGCGCUCUCUGGUAUUCCGGAGAGCAUGCUUGUUUGAGUAUCAGUAAACACCUCAACUUCCAUAUCUUUUUUGAAAUGGGAGUUGGACUUGAGUGAUCACAACGCUUUUCCUCACCGAAAAGUGGCGGGUUACUUGAAAUGCAGGUGCAGCUGGACUUUUCUCUGAGCUAUAAGCAUAUCUAUUUAGUCUGCCUAAAAAACAGAUUAUUACCUUUGCUGCAGCUAACAUAAAGGAGAUUAGUUCUUGUGCUGACUGAUGCAGGAUUCACAAAGACAGGCUUCGGCCGACUUUGUAAACUCGAUCUCAAAUCAAGUAAGACUACCCGCUGAACUUAAGCAUAUCAAUAAGCGGAGGA